Molecule: long non-coding RNA, 625 nt
Filed under: Macaca nemestrina (pig-tailed macaque)
Lineage: Eukaryota; Metazoa; Chordata; Mammalia; Primates; Cercopithecidae
Description: lncRNA (ENSMNEG00000046036.1)
Source: RNAcentral
GCUUGCCCAAGUAAGCCUCCAAAGAAACCUGGCUUGCCAUCCUCUGCCUCCUCCUGCCAGCCCCUAACCCCUGCGCACACAUGGAGUUGGCCCAUUCGAACUGGAGACACCCUGGGCUGUGCAAUUAGACUGGAGAAAACAGACCCCAUUUCAAAAGUAAUAAAAUGGAAGCAGAAAGAUGAAGCAGAGACGUUCCAGAUGUUCCAGGUGCUGGGAACAGGGCUGGUUGUGCCCUGAGAAAUCACAGCAAGCUCUCCUCUCUCUGGAUGUCAGCUUCCGCUUGUUUCGAAGGAGGAGAGAGGUUACCUGCAGACUCCUCCCGUGGAGACCUCUCGGAUGCCUCCAUUUGGGAGAAAACUGAAUAUGUCAAAGGGCACCAGAUCUGGGAACCAAAGGGGAGCUGUUUAAAGUGCCUCUAAGAACACUCAUCUCCUAUUUUGUGUAAUGAAGCCUCUGGUGAAAAAUGGAGUCUGACAGGUAUGUGGAAAGAAAUGCCCUCCAGGGGUGGGCAGAGCUGGCUGUGUUAGCCAGGCAGGUAGAUGGACAAAUAGAUGGAUAAAGUCUUUGGUAAACAUGGAGCAUUACUCAACAGCAAAUUUACCACCUCUUGCUGACUCAAACCAGC